CCAGGCCCCAAACAAGAAGAACGCUGUCUGUCUCCUCCUCUUUAACUUUAUUUCAUCAAUUAGCUCUUUAAAAAAAAGCGGCUAAGGAGAGAGAGUCCUAGUCAACUACAGAAACUUUUAAAGGGGUGGGCUUUCAAAAAGAGGGCUCUCUCAUUCUUCUUCUUCUUCAGAACUGAGGGAGGCAAGACUUCCAAUGAGCAGGCUAAACCUACAUACCCAGCUCCCUCACAUGGAAGAUGGAGCAAGCUUGUUCUCUCCUGCUCCAAAUGCUAGGACCUGAACUGAUGAAUUUAAGUUACAAGAAAGGAGAUUCCAGCUCAUCAUAAGGAAUAGCUUUCUGAAGGGCCUUUUAAUCAACACCUUCCUGGGACAGAAGGGCUGACUAGUCCCAAAGCCUUUGGCCAGAAGAGACCAAGCGAUUCACAAGGUUCAGGCUGUUCGAAGCCUUGUCCAUUUUUGUUUUGGCUUGGCGACUGUGUGCAAGACAAGAGUUGACUCUGCUCCUCCCAGAUAGGGUCAAAGGCAUUAUUCUUGCAGGACGCCUGCAGAAACCAGCCUUUUCCCGCGGCAUUCCAUCAGAUCUGCAAGUAAGGGCAGCUUCUGCGAUGACUUCACUUCUCUGCAUUGCAACACUGCACUGAACUGUGGCCAACUGCCGGAGUUUGCUCAUUUGUGUGUUUCCACUGGAGACCUGCUGAUUCAAUCAUUUUAAAGCUGCCCAUUUCUUCCACGUCAGAGAUUUUAUAGCUCUAAGGAUUAGCAGCUUUUAUCCCAACAAACCCCGAAGCUCUAUAUAUUCUGAUUUUUAUGUUGUGGAGCAACCCCACUGACUUCUAUGAGACUACUUGGAAGUGUGGUCCUUCAGAUGUUGGAACAUAGGAAGACGCCUUGUACUCAGUAGAUUCAUUGGUCCACUUGCUCAGCAAUGUCAACACUGGCUGGUAGUGGCUCUCUGAAAUUUCAAGACGAUCUCUCCCAGUUGAUGCUGGGGAUUGAACCUGUGACGUUCUGCAUGGAGAGCAGUUUGCAUUUCCACUGAGCAAUGGGCUUCCUCUUGCCUUCCUCAUCCCUAACCAUUGGGCAUGCUGGCUGGGGCUCAUGGGAGGUGGGGUUCAACAACAUCUGGAAGACCACAGGUUUCCUACCCCCAUCCCUGUUAAAUAACAUUGUACACAUCCCCCUUGUCCUCUGUUCUACAAAGAAACAAUUAUGCUGUUUCCGUAUUGGAACAGAUUUUGAAUGUCAGGCUCUUGUAGCCAAAUAGAAAUGUCAGGACCUCAACACGUCUCCCAUGUGUAGCGGCUAAUUUAAUCAGCAUUCCAAGAUGUGAUUUCGAUUCAAUCAUUUUGCUGGAGUGGCUGGGCUUAUGAGGAGUGUGUCCAGCAAAAAGGAGAUCAGUUAGAUAUUAUUAAGGGCCGCAUGUUUCUUACCGGAGAGAAAAAGGGGAGAGAGACGGGGGAUGGGGAAAGAACAUCUUGAAUGGGAUCUGCAGAGUUACGGAAGUUCAUCCUGGGCUUGCUGGAUGGGGAAGCUUAAUUCUGGACUAAGUUGUUUCCAUCAAACAUGGGGAAAAGGGGGGAAGGAAGCAUUUUGUAAUGCGAAAGUGGGAAGCAAGGGAUAGGUUCUUAACCUUCCCCUCCAUCCGCCAUGUGCCUCUGUAUUAUUUCCCCAGUCAUUUGCCCCCCAACUGCACCAGUGAGGUAUGAACAUUAGAAGAGCUCUGCUGGAUCAGGCCAAUGGACCAUUUAGACCAGCCUCAUGCUCUCACAGUGGCCAAACAGGUGACUGUGGGAAGCCCACAAGCGUU
Podarcis raffonei (Aeolian wall lizard) is the source of this 1807-nucleotide long non-coding RNA. RefSeq lists it as uncharacterized. The record is from RefSeq and is a predicted model, not a curated record. The transcript is spliced from 6 exons. Lineage: Eukaryota; Metazoa; Chordata; Lepidosauria; Squamata; Lacertidae.